CCUACGGGAGGCAGCAGUGGGGAAUAUUGCACAAUGGGGGAAACCCUGAUGCAGCGACGCCGCGUGAGUGAAGAAGUAAUUCGUUAUGUAAAGCUCUAUCAGCAGGGAAGAAAAUGACGGUACCUGAGUAAGAAGCCCCGGCUAACUACGUGCCAGCAGCCGCGGUAAUACGUAGGGGGCAAGCGUUAUCCGGAUUUACUGGGUGUAAAGGGAGCGUAGACGGCAGUGCAAGUCUGGAGUGAAUGGCGGGGGCUCAACCCCCGGACUGCACCUGAAACUGUACGGCUUGAGUGCAGGAGAGGUAAGUGGAAUUCCUGGUGGAGCGGUGAAAUGCGUAGAUAUUAGGAGGAACACCAGUGGCGAAGGCGGCUUACUGGACUGUAACUGACGUUGAGGCUCGAAAGCGUGGGGAGCAAACAGGAUUAGAUACCCUAGUAGUC
This 440-nucleotide ribosomal RNA is filed under the name uncultured bacterium. RNAcentral describes it as "partial 16S ribosomal RNA". It matches the Rfam family "Bacterial small subunit ribosomal RNA", at positions 338 to 795 of the family's 1533-position model. The record is from RNAcentral.